UCUAGUAUAGUCAAAUUUACGACGUAGGGUUUAAGCCCCUAAGAUGGGCUUCCUUCUAGAA
RNAcentral lists this transfer RNA (61 nucleotides) under Proasellus karamani. RNAcentral's name for it is "transfert RNA-L2(TTA)". The record is from RNAcentral. Lineage: Eukaryota; Metazoa; Arthropoda; Malacostraca; Isopoda; Asellidae.